CAGGUCCGUUGGUCAAGGGGUUAAGACACCGCCCUGUCACGGCGAAGAUCGCGGGUUCGAUUCCCGUCGGGACCGU
Molecule: transfer RNA, 76 nt
Filed under: Streptococcus pneumoniae
Lineage: Bacteria; Bacillati; Bacillota; Bacilli; Lactobacillales; Streptococcaceae
Description: tRNA-Asp(gtc)
Rfam family: tRNA
About the family: Transfer RNA (tRNA) molecules are approximately 80 nucleotides in length. Their secondary structure includes four short double-helical elements and three loops (D, anti-codon, and T loops).
Source: RNAcentral